GUCCACGCCCUAAACGAUGUCAACUAGUUGUUGGUAGAGUAAAAUCUAUGAGUAACGCAGCUAACGCGUGAAGUUGACCGCCUGGGGAGUACGAUCGCAAGAUUAAAACUCAAAAUGAAUUGACGGGGGCCCGCACAAGCGGUGGAUUAUGUGGAUUAAUUCGAUGCAACGCGAAAAACCUUACCUGGCCUUGACAUGUACGGAACUUUCCAGAGAUGGAUUGGUGCUAGAAAGAGAGCCGUAACACAGGUGCUGCAUGGCUGUCGU
RNAcentral lists this ribosomal RNA (267 nucleotides) under uncultured bacterium. RNAcentral describes it as "partial 16S ribosomal RNA". It matches the Rfam family "Bacterial small subunit ribosomal RNA", at positions 793 to 1055 of the family's 1533-position model. The record is from RNAcentral.